Long non-coding RNA from Betta splendens (Siamese fighting fish), 2138 nucleotides. RefSeq lists it as uncharacterized. Lineage: Eukaryota; Metazoa; Chordata; Actinopteri; Anabantiformes; Osphronemidae. The record is from RefSeq and is a predicted model, not a curated record. The transcript is spliced from 3 exons.
UAUGGCCCAUUUGGAGAAUAUCCAUUAAGUUUGCAACUGCCCGUAUCUCCGCUCAGUUCAGUAUCCGGGUACAGCAAUAAAAAUUCAUUACAGUCUCUCGCCUUAGGUGAGUAUUGGAUAUGUGCAGGAUUUCAUUGUCAUGCUCCCCGGGGCUGCACCACUGAAACAUAAUUUCAGCCUGAAUAGAUUUUCCGGGGCCUGUGAGGUGUUGGCUGACGCUGAGCGAUUCGACUGCACCUUAACACGCGUCAGCGUUUGUUUCUCAGGCAUCUCCUGCUUGGGUCUGUUGGGCUUUUUGUUUACCUGCCAUGUUUGAUAAUCACGCGCCACAUAUGAACCUGUGCAGAUCACGGUCCGCUGUCGGGUGUAAAAAUAUCCCUUUCAUAACUGUUUGUUAGGCUUUCUGCAGCACUCUCGUCUACUUCUGUUUGAAUCAAUUACGGUUGGCGCUGCCGGUGCCGUGUUUUGUUGUGAAGAAGCGCUCAGUAAGACGCUCUCAGCCUUUAUGAUGCGACCUCAUCUGGGCUCGUAGCAUGAAAGCCUUUAUUGAGAUUUUAUACAAACACACACAAUGCAUUUGUAUUUGGAUGGUUUAUUGUAAGGGUUGUGGGGUUGAUGCAUAUAGUCUUGUUUUUUGUCUUGUUUGCUAAAAACCAGGCCCUGCUCCAAUUUGUUCCUUUAUUUGUUUUGGCCUCUCUGGAGCCUCUGGUUCUGCCUGACGUCCACGCUGUGUCUCUGGACCGGAGGGUGGAGCUCUGAGACGCAACGCAAAAGUGUGCUGUUCCACUAAUCAAUACCAUGGCCAGCCAUGUGGGGGAAAUAGCUCCAUCCAGCCCUUUAAUAGGAAAACUCCGUCUCCUGCACCUACCGUGUAAUUGGUCCAGAUACAAUACGCUGCUUUAUGUCUAUACAUUGCAGGUGUCAUUAGGGAGCCACACACCGGCGUCUCCCGCUCUACGUCAGGAGAAGUGAGCCUCCCAGAGACGUACAGAUGAAAGCUGUCAGCGCCACCCUCUCCAUUGAGAGAGCCUUGAGAAAAAUAUUGCAUCAGAGUCUUUUGUCACACAAGAACAAUGAUUCUGCGGCUGAAUAGAUUGUAGAUGAAGUGACAUUUGGAGACAUGGGAAGGAAGUCAGUUUCAGAUUUACUUAAGCAACAUCAUUCAGAAGUUGGAAAUUUAGCUUUAUGCAUGAUAAUGACCAACUCGGUGGAUUAUAUACAGUACGUAUGGUGAGGAAGGCUGUGCUGCCCACACACACUGACUGAUCCACGAAGAGCCACUGGCACCAAACACACACUGAUCAUUGUUUUAUUGAAUGGCUGUGUGUCACCUCCGACUCUGUGGUCCCUGUUACUUUUCACACCAAACUUCUUACAUUAUCAGCAGACACAAUGGAUUCACUGGGCAACAAAGACGUGCCCGUUGCACAGCCUGAGUCGCCGCCGCCGCCAUGUUGGCGCUCUCCCCACGACGCCCCACUGCCCUUUUUGUGCGCGCCUUCCUAAAAUAUUCCCCUGUUCGUGCGCACGUGUUUACGAGGGUGCAUUGUGGGUGGCAGUUUGAUUCAUUAUGUAGCAACGCUCUUUCAUCUGCGGGCUGUAUUAAUUUGUUAAAGUUCAGCGCCCAUUUGUUAUUUGGAGAGAGAGCGGGAGAGAGAGCGAGCAGCAUAACGGAACAGGACUUUAUAUUAGAUGGGAAUUGAUGAAGGGCCAAUGAAGUGUUCAUUAACAGUUGUUUUAUAUGUGUGUUACCCAGAGCUCUGCUGUAAUUUGUCUAAAUGUGAGAUGCUCGUUCCUCUUGUGUGUUUGCAUUGAGAGGCUGACAGGAGGAUGGGGCCGGCGUUGAGCACCGGACCCACACAGCCCAUGGACCGGGCCCAAAGGUCUGCUAUUGUGGAAAAAUAAUUGCAUUUGCUUUUGGGAGAAAAACCUCAUCAUGAUAUGAACUCAGUGCUUGAGGUCUAACAAAUAAGCACUACGACACACGGGAUAUUUUUGUCUCGUGUCAUUGUGAGAUGCCUGUAAACGGUGCAUUGGUGAUAGAAGCUGUAUCACGCUAGUAAUUGGUUUGGAAAAUUAGCGAAGGGCUCGGUUUGCGUGUGUUUCUUCCUCGUCUCCUAUCAAACGCUAAGCACGGA